This 508-nucleotide ribosomal RNA is filed under the name uncultured bacterium. RNAcentral describes it as "partial 16S ribosomal RNA". The stretch from base 55 to 508 matches the Rfam family "Bacterial small subunit ribosomal RNA", at positions 38 to 507 of the family's 1533-position model. The record is from RNAcentral.
GGGGGGGGGGGGGGGGGGGGGGGGGGGGGGGGGGGCGGGGGCUGGGUGGGGCGGGGGGGCGGGCACUCAGGUGGGGGGAGGAGGGGCGGACGGGGGAGUAACACGGGGGUAACCUACCCAUCAGAGGGGGAUAACACUUGGAAACAGGUGCUAAUACCGCAUAACAGUUUAUGCCGCAUGGCAUAAGAGUGAAAGGCGCUUUCGGGUGUCGUUGAUGGAUGGACCCGCGGUGCAUUAGCUAGUUGGUGAGGUACCGGCUCACCAAGGCCCCGAUGCAUAGCCGACCUGAGAGGGUGAUCGGCCACACUGGGACUGAGACACGGCCCAGACUCCUACGGGAGGCAGCAGUAGGGAAUCUUCGGCAAUGGACGAAAGUCUGACCGAGCAACGCCGCGUGAGUGAAGAAGGUUUUCGGAUCGUAAAACUCUGUUGUUAGAGAAGAACAAGGACGUUAGUAACUGAACGUCCCCUGACGGUAUCUAACCAGAAAGCCACGGCUAACUACGUG